RNAcentral lists this ribosomal RNA (374 nucleotides) under uncultured bacterium. RNAcentral describes it as "bacterial SSU rRNA". It matches the Rfam family "Bacterial small subunit ribosomal RNA", at positions 527 to 898 of the family's 1533-position model. The record is from RNAcentral.
GUAGGGUGCGAGCGUUGUCCGGAAUUAUUGGGCGUAAAGGGCUCGUAGGCGGUUUGUCGCGUCGGGAGUGAAAACAUCGGGCUUAACUCGGUGCUUGCUUUCGAUACGGGCAGACUAGAGGUAUGCAGGGGAGAAUGGAAUUCCUGGUGUAGCGGUGAAAUGCGCAGAUAUCAGGAGGAACACCGGUGGCGAAGGCGGUUCUCUGGGCAUUACCUGACGCUGAGGAGCGAAAGUGUGGGGAGCGAACAGGAUUAGAUACCCUGGUAGUCCACACCGUAAACGUUGGGCGCUAGGUGUGGGAUCCUUUCCACGGGUUCCGUGCCGUAGCUAACGCAUUAAGCGCCCCGCCUGGGGAGUACGGCCGCAAGGCUAAA